RNAcentral lists this ribosomal RNA (2865 nucleotides) under Escherichia coli. RNAcentral describes it as "partial 23S ribosomal RNA". It matches the Rfam family "Bacterial large subunit ribosomal RNA". The record is from RNAcentral. Lineage: Bacteria; Pseudomonadati; Pseudomonadota; Gammaproteobacteria; Enterobacterales; Enterobacteriaceae.
GGGUUGUGAGGUUAAGCGACUAAGCGUACACGGUGGAUGCCCUGGCAGUCAGAGGCGAUGAAGGACGUGCUAAUCUGCGAUAAGCGUCGGUAAGGUGAUAUGAACCGUUAUAACCGGCGAUUUCCGAAUGGGGAAACCCAGUGUGUUUCGACACACUAUCAUUAACUGAAUCCAUAGGUUAAUGAGGCGAACCGGGGGAACUGAAACAUCUAAGUACCCCGAGGAAAAGAAAUCAACCGAGAUUCCCCCAGUAGCGGCGAGCGAACGGGGAGGAGCCCAGAGCCUGAAUCAGUGUGUGUGUUAGUGGAAGCGUCUGGAAAGGCGCGCGAUACAGGGUGACAGCCCCGUACACAAAAAUGCACAUACUGUGAGCUCGAUGAGUAGGGCGGGACACGUGGUAUCCUGUCUGAAUAUGGGGGGACCAUCCUCCAAGGCUAAAUACUCCUGACUGACCGAUAGUGAACCAGUACCGUGAGGGAAAGGCGAAAAGAACCCCGGCGAGGGGAGUGAAAAAGAACCUGAAACCGUGUACGUACAAGCAGUGGGAGCCUCUUUUAUGGGGUGACUGCGUACCUUUUGUAUAAUGGGUCAGCGACUUAUAUUCUGUAGCAAGGUUAACCGAAUAGGGGAGCCGAAGGGAAACCGAGUCUUAACUGGGCGUUAAGUUGCAGGGUAUAGACCCGAAACCCGGUGAUCUAGCCAUGGGCAGGUUGAAGGUUGGGUAACACUAACUGGAGGACCGAACCGACUAAUGUUGAAAAAUUAGCGGAUGACUUGUGGCUGGGGGUGAAAGGCCAAUCAAACCGGGAGAUAGCUGGUUCUCCCCGAAAGCUAUUUAGGUAGCGCCUCGUGAAUUCAUCUCCGGGGGUAGAGCACUGUUUCGGCAAGGGGGUCAUCCCGACUUACCAACCCGAUGCAAACUGCGAAUACCGGAGAAUGUUAUCACGGGAGACACACGGCGGGUGCUAACGUCCGUCGUGAAGAGGGAAACAACCCAGACCGCCAGCUAAGGUCCCAAAGUCAUGGUUAAGUGGGAAACGAUGUGGGAAGGCCCAGACAGCCAGGAUGUUGGCUUAGAAGCAGCCAUCAUUUAAAGAAAGCGUAAUAGCUCACUGGUCGAGUCGGCCUGCGCGGAAGAUGUAACGGGGCUAAACCAUGCACCGAAGCUGCGGCAGCGACACUAUGUGUUGUUGGGUAGGGGAGCGUUCUGUAAGCCUGUGAAGGUGUGCUGUGAGGCAUGCUGGAGGUAUCAGAAGUGCGAAUGCUGACAUAAGUAACGAUAAAGCGGGUGAAAAGCCCGCUCGCCGGAAGACCAAGGGUUCCUGUCCAACGUUAAUCGGGGCAGGGUGAGUCGACCCCUAAGGCGAGGCCGAAAGGCGUAGUCGAUGGGAAACAGGUUAAUAUUCCUGUACUUGGUGUUACUGCGAAGGGGGGACGGAGAAGGCUAUGUUGGCCGGGCGACGGUUGUCCCGGUUUAAGCGUGUAGGCUGGUUUUCCAGGCAAAUCCGGAAAAUCAAGGCUGAGGCGUGAUGACGAGGCACUACGGUGCUGAAGCAACAAAUGCCCUGCUUCCAGGAAAAGCCUCUAAGCAUCAGGUAACAUUAAAUCGUACCCCAAACCGACACAGGUGGUCAGGUAGAGAAUACCAAGGCGCUUGAGAGAACUCGGGUGAAGGAACUAGGCAAAAUGGUGCCGUAACUUCGGGAGAAGGCACGCUGAUAUGUAGGUGAAGUCCCUCGCGGAUGGAGCUGAAAUCAGUCGAAGAUACCAGCUGGCUGCAACUGUUUAUUAAAAACACAGCACUGUGCAAACACGAAAGUGGACGUAUACGGUGUGACGCCUGCCCGGUGCCGGAAGGUUAAUUGAUGGGGUUAGCGGUAACGCGAAGCUCUUGAUCGAAGCCCCGGUAAACGGCGGCCGUAACUAUAACGGUCCUAAGGUAGCGAAAUUCCUUGUCGGGUAAGUUCCGACCUGCACGAAUGGCGUAAUGAUGGCCAGGCUGUCUCCACCCGAGACUCAGUGAAAUUGAACUCGCUGUGAAGAUGCAGUGUACCCGCGGCAAGACGGAAAGACCCCGUGAACCUUUACUAUAGCUUGACACUGAACAUUGAGCCUUGAUGUGUAGGAUAGGUGGGAGGCUUUGAAGUGUGGACGCCAGUCUGCAUGGAGCCGACCUUGAAAUACCACCCUUUAAUGUUUGAUGUUCUAACGUUGACCCGUGAUCCGGGUUGCGGACAGUGUCUGGUGGGUAGUUUGACUGGGGCGGUCUCCUCCUAAAGAGUAACGGAGGAGCACGAAGGUUGGCUAAUCCUGGUCGGACAUCAGGAGGUUAGUGCAAUGGCAUAAGCCAGCUUGACUGCGAGCGUGACGGCGCGAGCAGGUGCGAAAGCAGGUCAUAGUGAUCCGGUGGUUCUGAAUGGAAGGGCCAUCGCUCAACGGAUAAAAGGUACUCCGGGGAUAACAGGCUGAUACCGCCCAAGAGUUCAUAUCGACGGCGGUGUUUGGCACCUCGAUGUCGGCUCAUCACAUCCUGGGGCUGAAGUAGGUCCCAAGGGUAUGGCUGUUCGCCAUUUAAAGUGGUACGCGAGCUGGGUUUAGAACGUCGUGAGACAGUUCGGUCCCUAUCUGCCGUGGGCGCUGGAGAACUGAGGGGGGCUGCUCCUAGUACGAGAGGACCGGAGUGGACGCAUCACUGGUGUUCGGGUUGUCAUGCCAAUGGCACUGCCCGGUAGCUAAAUGCGGAAGAGAUAAGUGCUGAAAGCAUCUAAGCACGAAACUUGCCCCGAGAUGAGUUCUCCCUGACUCCUUGAGAGUCCUGAAGGAACGUUGAAGACGACGACGUUGAUAGGCCGGGUGUGUAAGCGC